This 423-nucleotide ribosomal RNA is filed under the name uncultured bacterium. RNAcentral's name for it is "bacterial SSU rRNA". It matches the Rfam family "Bacterial small subunit ribosomal RNA", at positions 355 to 774 of the family's 1533-position model. The record is from RNAcentral.
UAAGGAAUAUUGGACAAUGGAGGAAACUCUGAUCCAGCCAUCCCGCGUGUAGGAUGACUGCCCUAUGGGUUGUAAACUACUUUUAUUUGGGAAGAAACCUGGUCAUUCACUGAUCAGUUGACGGUACCUUAUGAAUAAGCACCGGCUAACUCCGUGCCAGCAGCCGCGGUAAUACGGAGGGUGCAAGCGUUAUCCGGAAUCACUGGGUUUAAAGGGAGCGUAGGCGGCACGAUAAGUCAGAGGUGAAAGGCUGUAGCUUAACUAUGGAAUUGCCUUUGAUACUGUUGUGCUUGAAUCGAGUUGAGGUCAGCAGAAUGUGACAUGUAGCGGUGAAAUGCAUAGAUAUGUCAUAGAAUACCAAUUGUGAAGACAGCUGGCUGGACUUGUAUUGACGCUGAGGCUCGAAAGCGUGGGGAGCAAACA